UAAAAAAGCUCGUAGUUGGAUUUCGGAGUGGGCCAGUUGGUCCGCCGCAAGGUGUGUUACUGACUGGUCUGCUCUUCUUCGCAAAGACUGCGUGUGCUCUUUGUUGAGUGUGCGUAGGAUUUACGACGUUUACUUUGAAAAAAUUAGAGUGUUCAAAGCAGGCUAUUGCUUGAAUACAUGAGCAUGGAAUAAUGGAAUAGGACUUUGGUCCCAUUUUGUUGGUUUCUAGGACCGAAGUAAUGAUUAAGAGGGACAAUUGGGGGCAUCCGUAUUUCGUUGUCAGAGGUGAAAUUCUUGGAUUUACGAAAGACGAACAACUGCGAAAGCACUUGCCAAGAGUGUUUUCAUUAAUCAAGAACGAAAGUUAGAGGAUCGAAGACGAUCAGAUACCGUCCUAGUUCUAACCAUAAACGAUGUCGACUAGGGAUCAGCGGGCGUUAUCGUACGACCCCGUUGGCACCUUACGGGAAACCAAAGUUUCUGGAUUCCGGGGGAAGUAUAGUCGCAAGGCCGAAACUUAAAGGAAUUGACGGAAGGGCACCACCAGGAGUGGAGCCUGUGGCUCAAUUUGACUCAACACGGGAAAACUUACCAGGUCCAGACAUAGUAAGGAUUGA
This 617-nucleotide ribosomal RNA is filed under the name uncultured eukaryote. RNAcentral describes it as "SSU rRNA". It matches the Rfam family "Eukaryotic small subunit ribosomal RNA", at positions 619 to 1243 of the family's 1831-position model. The record is from RNAcentral.